RNAcentral lists this ribosomal RNA (379 nucleotides) under uncultured bacterium. RNAcentral describes it as "bacterial SSU rRNA". It matches the Rfam family "Bacterial small subunit ribosomal RNA", at positions 135 to 507 of the family's 1533-position model. The record is from RNAcentral.
AGUGGGGGGUAACGUAGCGAAAGUUACGCUAAUACCGCUAUAUUCUGUGAGCAGGAAAGCAGGGGAUCGCAAGACCUUGCGCUCUUUGAGCGGCCGAUGUCAGAUUAGCUAGUUGGUGAGGUAACGGCUUACCAAGGCGACGGAUCUGUAGCGGGUCUGAGAGGAUGAUCCGCCACACUGGAACUGAGACACGGUCCAGACUCCUACGGGAGGCAGCAGUGGGGAAUUUUGGACAAUGGGGGCAACCCUGAUCCAGCCAUGCCGCGUGAGUGAAGAAGGCCUUCGGGUUGUAAAGCUCUUUCGGCCGGGAAGAAAUCGCAUGGGUUAAUACCCUGUGUGGAUGACGGUACCGGCAUAAGAAGCACCGGCUAACUACGUG